RNAcentral lists this ribosomal RNA (443 nucleotides) under Kytococcus sedentarius. RNAcentral describes it as "bacterial SSU rRNA". It matches the Rfam family "Bacterial small subunit ribosomal RNA", at positions 28 to 483 of the family's 1533-position model. The record is from RNAcentral. Lineage: Bacteria; Bacillati; Actinomycetota; Actinomycetes; Micrococcales; Kytococcaceae.
GACGAACGCUGGCGGCGUGCUUAACACAUGCAAGUCGAACGGUGAAGCGGGUGCUUGCACUCGUGGAUCAGUGGCGAACGGGUGAGUAACACGUGAGUAACCUGCCCUCCACUCUGGGAUAAGCGCUGGAAACGGCGUCUAAUACUGGAUACGACCGACCCUCGCAUGGGGUGUUGGUGGAAAGAUUUAUCGGUGGUGGAUGGACUCGCGGCCUAUCAGCUUGUUGGUGGGGUAAUGGCCUACCAAGGCGACGACGGGUAGCCGGCCUGAGAGGGCGACCGGCCACACUGGGACUGAGACACGGCCCAGACUCCUACGGGAAGCAGCAGUGGGGAAUAUUGCACAAUGGGCGAAAGCCUGAUGCAGCGACGCCGCGUGAGGGAUGACGGCCUUCGGGUUGUAAACCUCUUUCAGCAGGGAAGAAGCUUUGUGACGUACCUGCA